GACGAACGUUGGCGGCGUGCUUAACACAUGCCAGUCGAACGGAAGGGCCCUGCUUUUGUGGGGUGCUCGAGUGGCGAACGGGUGAGUAACACGUGAGUAACCUGCCCUUGACUUUGGGAUAACUUCAGGAAACUGGGGCUAAUACCGGAUAGGAGCUCCUGCUGCAUGGUGGGGGUUGGAAAGUUUCGGCGGUUGGGGAUGGACUCGCGGCUUAUCAGCUUGUUGGUGGGGUAGUGGCUUACCAAGGCUUUGACGGGUAGCCGGCCUGAGAGGGUGACCGGCCACAUUGGGACUGAGAUACGGCCCAGACUCCUACGGGAGGCAGCAGUGGGGAAUAUUGCACAACGGGCGGAAGCCUGAUGCAGCAACGCCGCGUGCGGGAUGACGGCCUUCGGGUUGUAAACCGCUUUCGCCUGUGACGAAGCGUGAGUGACGGUAAUGGGUAAAGAAGCACCGGCUAACUACGUG
RNAcentral lists this ribosomal RNA (468 nucleotides) under uncultured bacterium. RNAcentral's name for it is "partial 16S ribosomal RNA". It matches the Rfam family "Bacterial small subunit ribosomal RNA", at positions 28 to 507 of the family's 1533-position model. The record is from RNAcentral.